CUAAGACAUUUUUCCUUUUCAUAUUUGAACAUUUCUGAAAUCAAGGUAUAUCUUCAAGUGAUGCCCCUUCAUAAAUACUUAGCAGUACUUUCUCAAGUCUGUAUGAAAGCACUGUGGGUCCUACACGUCAAAGACAAGCUUUCUAGUCCGCAAACUGCAGUGGCUCUCAUUGGCCCAAGCGCAUCACGUGUCUCUCACCCGCCAAUCACUGCAACUCUGGUUGGGAAGCCAUAGGCUCAUCUCUGGUGUUAACUAGUUGGAGUCAGCAUCACCUAAGCAAAAGGAGCGACAGAGGAAUGGCAGUUUCUGAGAGGAAAAUCAAAGUGUCACUGCCCCCCGGAGAGAUGGCUGUGGAUUCCCGGCAGGCAGAAACAACUGCUGCCUCCUCUGCUCAGAGUCAUUCCGGAAUUCGGAAAUUCUGGCCACCUGCAGUGUGCAAAGGCAGCUGGCCAGGCAAGGAAGCUGGCGCCAGGUCCCAGGGCCCCUCCCUGGAGGGAGCAAAGGCCUCUCGGGUUGCAGCUGCAGAAAGAGGGAGGAGAGAAGAGGGACAGGAUGGAGUGGAGAGCCUUGGAGGCAGUGGUUUGGACAUCAACUCGGUCCUGAGGUUGUCAAGUUUAAUCCUCAACUCCUGCAAGUUCCCAGAAGCAGACAUUCUUUUUUUUUUUUUUUUUUUUUUUUUUUUUGCAUUGUUCUGUUCCGGGAGCUACGAACUCAAGUGUCUACAGAACAUGUCAGAUAGCAUAAACAAGAGAAGUGGCCAAGGCUAAUAAAGAUCAUUCAGCUCUCUUGGUCUGGCUUUUGCUUUCUCACUUUUGACAGAGACAUGAAAGCAGAGGAAUAGUUCUUACUAUAAAAAUGCACACACAGUACAGUCAGUGAUGGGGGCAAGUGACACUCAUCCUUGGUUGGGGAGCAGUAGACUGUGGGUGGUGACUGUGGCACACCUCCUACCAGCCAGUUUGCUGUUUUGCAGAAAUCUGGCCCAGUGUGGCCAGAAAUUACCAUUUUUAAAGAGAAGCUGGAAAUCCAGAUUUGUAUGUGGUGUCUCCC
Molecule: long non-coding RNA, 1050 nt
Filed under: Sus scrofa (pig)
Lineage: Eukaryota; Metazoa; Chordata; Mammalia; Artiodactyla; Suidae
Description: lncRNA (ENSSSCG00030037193.1)
Source: RNAcentral